Molecule: ribosomal RNA, 460 nt
Filed under: uncultured bacterium
Lineage: Bacteria
Description: partial 16S ribosomal RNA
Rfam family: Bacterial small subunit ribosomal RNA
Source: RNAcentral
CCUACGGGGUGCAGCAGUGAGGAAUAUUGGUCAAUGGGCGGAAGCCUGAACCAGCCAAGUAGCGUGCAGGAUGACGGCCCUACGGGUUGUAAACUGCUUUUAUACGGGAAUAACGCGCCUUACGUGUAGGGCUUUGCAUGUACCGUAUGAAUAAGGACCGCCUAAUUCCGUGCAAGCAGCCGCGGUAAUCCGGAGGGUCCGGUCGUUAUCCGGAUUUAUUGGGUUUAAGGGGAUAUUAGGCCGCAUGUCAAGCGUGCUGUGAAAUGUCCGGGCUCAACCCGGGCCUUGCAGCGCGAACUGGCGUGCUGGAGUCCGCGGAAAGCAGGCGGAAUUCGUCGUGUAGCGGUGAAAUGCUUAGAUAUGACGAAGAACCCCGAUUGCGAAGGCAGCUUGCUGCAGCGGAACUGACGCUGAUGCUCGAAAGCGCGGGUAUCUAACAGGAUUAGAUACCCCGGUAGUC